Molecule: long non-coding RNA, 1373 nt
Filed under: Ananas comosus (pineapple)
Lineage: Eukaryota; Viridiplantae; Streptophyta; Magnoliopsida; Poales; Bromeliaceae
Description: long non-coding RNA (ACOM_LNC013806)
Source: RNAcentral
UAUAUAUAUAUAUAUAUAUAGAACUAGGCUACUAUACUAUUCGGUAGCAUGGAGCGCUCCGUGCUACCAAGUUGUUUUCGAUGAUGCGGCUUCCAAAUCGACGAUCGGUUCCGUUAGACUUGAUCUACACUAUUGAAAGUAUUUAGAAAUUAAAUUUCAUAACUUUUCGAUAUCAUUUACCUAUCAAACAAAUAGUCUAAAAUUGAACGGCUGAAAAUAAAAAUCUCAUGAAAAAUGAUGAUAAAAGAUUUAAAUUCAAGAUUAGAUAUACUGAUCUUACUCUAAAUAGUGAAAAAAAUUUUCUAUAAAAUUUUCAUCGCAUUUGGAUUGUUUUACACCGUUAAACUCACAAACACACCACAUCGGCCAUUAAAAUUGUCAAUUUUGAGAUCUUUUGAUCACUAGUCAAAUGAUGUCGAAAAAAUCUGAAAUUUAGUUUCCAAAUAUUUUCAAUGGUGUAGAUCAAGUCUAACGGAGCCGAUCGUUGAUUUGGAAGCCGCGUCAUCGAAAACAACUUGGUAGCACGGAGCGCUCCGUGCUACCGAUAGCAUAGUAGCCGGACUAUAUAUAUAUAUAUAUAUAUAUAUAUAUAUAUAUAUAUAUAUAUAUAGAGAGAGAGAGAGAGAGAGAGAGAGAGAGAGAGAGAGAGUAGGGCUACUAUACUCUUAUGAGUAUAGAACCCUUACUACUCAUAAGUUGUUUUCGAUGUUGGAGUUUUCAAAUUGACGAUCCACACCGUUAAACAUGAUCUAGAGUAUUUGAAACUUAUAAAAAAUAAAUUUCAUAAAUUUUUGAAAUCAUUAUAAAGUCCAUCAAGCGAGUAUAAAAUGAACAGUUAAAAUCGAAUGACAUCCUAAAAAUGGAUGAUCGGAUCCUUAAAUUUAAGAUCGGAGUUAUUGAUCUUUAUUUAGGUAGUGAAUAGAAUUUUCUACGAAAAAUUCAACCUAUUUCGAUUAUUUUUCACCGUUAAACUAGCAAAUAUUUCAUAUCGGCCGUUAAAAAUUGUCGAUUUUGUGAUCUUUUGAUCGUAAGAUAAAUGAUAUCGAAAAAUUAUAAAAUUUAAUUUCUAGAUGUUUUAAAUGCUCUAGAUAAUGUUUAACGGUAUAGAUCGUUGAUUCGAAAGCUCUAUCAUCAAAAACAACUUAUGAGUACGAAGUCGAUCGUACUCAUAAGAGUAUAGUAGCCGGACUCUCUCUCUCUCUCUCUCCCCCUCUCUCUCUCUCUCUAUAUAUAUAUAUGUUUCGAUUUUAGCAGUUCUGUACUUCUUGUUGUAGUUAUUAUCUGUUUGCAAGUAUAGCUAUCGCUUCGUAUACAUAGAAAAUUCCUAUGUAUACGGCGGAUUUGUUGGCGAGCUUAGGGAACGUGGUAAUCCA